This 625-nucleotide long non-coding RNA is filed under the name Piliocolobus tephrosceles (Ugandan red Colobus). Its description in RNAcentral is "lncRNA (ENSPTEG00000007088.1)". The record is from RNAcentral. Lineage: Eukaryota; Metazoa; Chordata; Mammalia; Primates; Cercopithecidae.
UACACAAAUAAACAGGCCCCAUGGAGCUGGCUUCGUAGGAUGAAACUGUAAUGCACCAAGAAGUAAAGGAACAAUUGGGUUUCAUGACUUUAAAAGUCCAACAUUGGGAAGAAACUUCCAGAUCAGAAGAUAUAAGAAGUACCUUAAAGGGAUACAGAUCCUACUGGCAAUAUACAUAGUGUUUCCUCAAGAAUGAUCCAAUUGUUGUUCCUUUAAAGGAGGUAGGUCACUAUUAUUACUGUGGUUAUUAUUGCCUGGAGGAUCUCUGAAUAGCACAGACUGAUGAUUUUAGCAAUGCAGCUCCAAUAUUAGUUUUCAUUUCUGGUGUACUAGGUUUUGAGAUGGCCUGAGAAGCAUUUUGUUGCUAUGGAGUCAAGGUCCUUUUUUAAUUUUACAAAGAUGAAGUUUGGAAUUCAUACUAUGAUAGGAAUAUAAGGAUCAGAACAGUCUUAUAAGAUAAUAUCUUCCUUUUGAUAUGUUGAAAGGAGUGGCUAUUACAUUAUUUCUUUUUGGUCAGCAGAGUCAGUUGCACGAUGACAGAUCCAGCCAUGAAUUAAUUCAGAAUAGUAUCUAAAAGAAAAAUGAGCAAGAGUUUGUUUUUCCUUAUGUGACAGAAAAAGAUCUU